Molecule: long non-coding RNA, 703 nt
Organism: Ahaetulla prasina
Lineage: Eukaryota; Metazoa; Chordata; Lepidosauria; Squamata; Colubridae
Exons: 5
Source: RefSeq, a predicted model, not a curated record
CAGCCUAGAGUACAUUUCCCAGUCAAGGUGCACAGAAGCCAAGGUGGUUACAUUAUUCUGCAAAUGAGAUGGUGAUAAACUGCUUCAGUGCAUGACCCUGACGUCAUCUAGCAUGGGGCUGGGAAAUCGAAGUGAGAGGCAUGCCUCGGGGCUGACGACCCGGGAGAGCAGGCACACAGGAAGGGUCGUCGGCGAAAGUGUGCAGCAGCAGAAUGGCGAUCUCCACAUGAAUGGCGGCCCCAAAUACCAUUGCAGGGCUGGGGCUGACACAUACAAGGGGGUGGAUCCUCUUUUGCACAUUCAAUAAAUUGUCCAAGCCUUUCAGAUGAUAGUUCCAGCAAAUUGAGUUCUAUAUUACAACUCUGAACUAUUGUUUAGCCCGUCAUCACUCACAUAAAACAGUCCUAUUCACACAGGACAUCAAAAGAGCAAAUAUAUGUUCGAGGUCUUCUUUCUCCUCUCUUCUGCUGUUAGUGAAGUUGGACCUGCCAUUAAACCGAAGAGGAUUGCUUCUUCAAGAAGAUACCAAGGAUACCAAUUCUGAUGAGUGGGAAAAAAGAUUGAAUAGGAAUGGGAUAGCAAAACAAUCAGCAAUCAAGAAUCAAGAAUCAAGACUGUAGAUUUACGAUGGGAAAUUCCGCAGCUUGACCACUGGAGAAAAUAUCUAUGGGGAAGGUGCUAGAUAGCAGAACCGAAUCUUCUC